GUCCUAGUUUGGUUCCCUGCUGAAAGUCCUUCUUCAUUCCAGGAGCAGCACUGCUGGAGGAGCUUGUGUAUUUUUAGAGGUUUUCUUCCAGUAUGAAUGCAUGCUGCAGUAUCACAUGAGCCCAGGUUUUGGGACAGGUGAUGCCUUGAGAUAACGCCAUUCUGUAACUAGUUCUUGCUUCGUUGUUGCUCUUGAAUCAAAUUCUUGAAAAGUCAUUCAAUAUUGACUGAAAGCCAGAGGAAGAAAAGGUUCGUGCCCUGGAGCUCCAAGGAAGCUGUGAAAAAGGCAUCUAAAGAUUAAAUUUAUAGGUGGUGCUGAAACACAUUUUAUUUUGUCUUGAAAUCAAGAUUGCAGCAUACUUUAUGUUCACAUUCUGCAUGGAUUUGAAGCCAUUGUCAUCAUCAUGUUGGUUUGGGCGUUUUGUGGAGCAGGGUUGCAUCUUAGAGUAUUGGUUUGGUUAAAUAAAAUACCUGGACAAAAGACAAAGUGCUCAAGGCAGAUGGACAUCCUUCCUGUCUGAAUGAUGACGGGCUUUCUCCAGGCUGGUGAGAAUGUUGUUCCACAGGACCAUCCAGUCAAGGAGGACACACGAAGAGACCUUCCACCAUUCUCUUCUAAGACAAAGCUUAGCAAGGAACGGGGAAGAGGAAGGAGAGAGUGGGAACAGAAGAGUGAGUGCAAGAGUUGCAUCAACAUAACCCUAAAUUGAGGUCACAAGAAGAUGGAGAAGGGUUUGUUCUUGUAAGGCUCAGGAUUGAGCCUUAUACCCCAUGCCCUGUUUUCUGCAACUCUUUUGCGAUGU
Molecule: long non-coding RNA, 802 nt
Organism: Hirundo rustica (Barn swallow)
Lineage: Eukaryota; Metazoa; Chordata; Aves; Passeriformes; Hirundinidae
Exons: 5
Source: RefSeq, a predicted model, not a curated record